Molecule: ribosomal RNA, 448 nt
Filed under: Acanthocyclus hassleri
Lineage: Eukaryota; Metazoa; Arthropoda; Malacostraca; Decapoda; Belliidae
Description: partial 12S small subunit ribosomal RNA
Source: RNAcentral
AAAGGUGAAAUUAAAUUGUUAAUUAUAAAUUUUUUCUAAAAAUUGAAGCUAAUAAAUUUCAGAUCUAAACUAGGAUUAGAUACCCUAUUAUACUGAAAUUAAAUUGUAAAAGCUUGAUUAUUAAUAGAUAAGAACUUUAAAUUUAAAAAAUUUGGCGGUAAUUUAGUCCUGUCAGAGGAACUUGUUUAUUAAUCGAUACACCACGAAAAAUUUAACUUAAGUUUGUAUACCAUCAUUAAAGAUAAUUCUUAAAGGAAAUAUUAUUGAGUUUAAUAUUAUAUUAUUAAAAUUAGAUCAAGGUGCAGCUAAUAAAUAAGGAACAAAUGAGUUACAAUAAAUCUUAUUUAAUAUGGAUUAAUUUUUAUUAAGGUGGAUUUGUUUGUAAUAUGAUUUUAAUAUGAUCAUAUGAUAUAGGCUCUAAGUUGUGUACAUAUUGCCCGUCGCUUUC